UCCACAGUAGCUCAGUGGUAGAGCUAUCGGCUGUUAACCGAUCGGUCGUAGGUUCGAGUCCUACCUGUGGAGC
RNAcentral lists this transfer RNA (73 nucleotides) under Staphylococcus aureus. RNAcentral's name for it is "tRNA-Asn(gtt)". It matches the Rfam family "tRNA". Rfam says of the family: Transfer RNA (tRNA) molecules are approximately 80 nucleotides in length. RNAcentral also lists the same sequence under 2 other names. Lineage: Bacteria; Bacillati; Bacillota; Bacilli; Caryophanales; Staphylococcaceae. The record is from RNAcentral.